Vombatus ursinus (common wombat) is the source of this 2956-nucleotide long non-coding RNA. NCBI's taxonomy places the organism in Eukaryota, Metazoa, Chordata, Mammalia, Diprotodontia, Vombatidae. The record is from Ensembl.
AUCUCUGGGGUUGGACUGUGGUAGGUGAUUGAGGGACUUUGAGUUCCAAUCAUAAUAAGGCUAAUGGACUUGGGACACCCAGAUGUGAAGCCCAGAGAGCUGUCAGCCCCAGUAAAAAACAGGAGUGGGGGGAAGUUGUGAGGGAGAAAAGGGGCCGUGGUCUGGGGGCAGCACAGGCAUGUGAGCUGGGGAUGUGAGAGCUAGCCUUGGGCUGGGGCCAGGAAGCUGAGGAGAAGGUCUACUUUUCACAGUUAUUUGAUCACAUGAACUUCUCACACAUGGGGUCCAGAAUCUCGGGCCCCUCUGUCACCCAGUGUGUUCCUGGUGAGGAAUCAGGAUGCUGUGGCCUGCCUGGUCAGUGACUUCUACCCCAAGGAACUCCAUGGGUCCCUGGCAUCCCUUGGGGACUUAGUCUCAGCCCAGGCCCUCACUAUGGCUCCCACAGCCCAUGGCACCUACAGUGCCAUCCAGAUUGGCAGGGUUGGUGAAAAUGACUCAGUAACCUGCUCAGUGCAGCACCUUGGGAAAGAGACCCUUGUGUCCUACCAGCCAGACACUGGGAUCACUCCUCAGCUGGAACCAUCUUGCCAUGACCAGGAACUCACAGCAGGAGAACCAGGACCUGAGCAGGGGAACCAGGUGCUCCUCAGACUGCUGGGCUUGAGAAUGUUAUUGAUGAAGACUGCGGCUAUCAACAUCCUGUUCACCACCAUGAUCUUGAUCUUUUGAUCUUCCCAUCCCAUGAAAUUAUCCCAUUAAUCCUUGUCUGUUAUCUGCUUCCUCAUAUUUCCAUCCUCUUUUUUCUCAGUCUUCUCUCUGUCCCUUCAUCUCUCCCACCCUAACCUUACAAUCUCACACCUAUUCCCCUAGGCAUUUCAUAGUCUUCUCUCUGCCUUCAUCCCCUCUGUUCCCUUAGAUUUUUCUUUAUUUUUCAAGUCUCCUCUCUUGCCUAUUAUUCUUUCUGUCUCUAUGAUUUCCCUUCUGUGGGUGGAAAUGGGGAAUGAACAGAAGAGAACAAGUUGCCUCCAGAUGAGUUUGACCUCUGACUCCCUGACUCUUGACUUGUGACCUUUGCUUCUCCAGAAGCCUGGGAAACAAAGUUGUGGGAGCCACUAUUUGGACCCUGACAUGACCAUUUGAGUUCCAGAAUGAUCCCAGUGACCCCAGUCACAUUCAUUCCCUCUUAAGAUUCAGAAGUCAAUCCUCAUUCUGUGUCCCCUGAAAUAGUCACAGUAUUCCUUUCUUUGGAGUUACAGGUAUGGAAGUGGGAGUGGGGGGCAGAUAAUCAUAACCCAAGUUCCCCAGGUUUCCAUAGUUUGGGCAGCAGCAACAGUUCCCACUACUACCUUUUUCCUAUAUGAGGCUUAUUUUGGGGGUACACACCAGGUUGCAACCUCCAGUUCAUGCUCUUGGGAUUAUGGCCAUAUGGGCUGCUUGGAGUCGGUAGGGGCUGUGUACCAUGAUAGAAAUUAGGCUGUGAAGGUUGGGGACCUGUAGGGGGGAAAAUCAGCCUCAUUGUCUUCCAAUGCCUAGCUUCUCUUAUUAUGUCCCUGGGGAGGUCGUAUCCUUCAUUCUUAUAGUUGAGGAAGGAAUCACAUGGGGGAGGAGUCUUAAUUUCCAUCAGGAUAAAUGUGGGUCAGAUGUAGGGAUGAAAUUCCUGGUGCAAGAUCUCCUUGAGUCCCUAAUGCUAUCUAUAACCUAUCCCUGUCCCCAAGGCUAUUCCUGAGGUAAGGGGCAUAAGGAUACUUUAGGACACAACUCAGAGCCUAGAUUUCCUCUGAGAUGCAGCUUAAUCUAAUUAGAGUUCUCUGUACCAUCAAAGAUCAAAUAUUAAUUUUGUGUGAACCAUGGUUUCCCUAGUAAGAGAGGAAAUGGAAGAAGGGCCCAGGGAGUACACACUUCUGGAAGGAAUCCAGGAGGCCUAAGGGGUCCAGGCAGGGAGAAACUGAGUAGGAGACAAGGACAAAUGGCCAAGAAUGGAAAUGGAUAGCACAAUCCCUCAGGCUGUAGGAGAAAAGAACAAGGCAGUGACUUGGGGUCCUGGAGUUGAACUUAACCUCAAAUGCAGACACUGUCUUGGAAGGAAAGAACAAGCAUUUAUUAAGUGAUUACUGUGUACCAGGAACCAUACCAAGCUCUGGAGAUACAAAUAUAAGAAAAAAAAAAGACAGUGCCUGCCCUCAAGGAGUUUACAUUCUAAUGGGAGAAGACAACACACAAAAGGGAGCCGAAAAGAGGGAAAAGGAAAGGAUGAAGACACUCAAGCUAUGUGCCAGGCACUCUGCUAAGCACUUUACAAAUAUUACAACCUGGGAAGUAGGUGCUAUUGUCAUCUCCAUUUUACAGAUGAGGAAACUGAGGCAAAGAAAUGUCAAGUGACUUGCCCAGGGCCACCCAGGAUCAGAGUUCAGAUUUGAACUCAGGAGUUCUUGACUCCAGCCCAUGUACUCUAUCCCCUGCACCACCUAGUGGUUCCAAGCCUUGUACUCUCUGUUUCUAGCUGGGAUCAAUAAGUCCUUCAUCCUUGUACUGCUGCUUGAGAAUGACAUCUUUAGCAUCUCAUUACAGAACCACUUGCUUUCAUAGCCAGAUUCCAAGGGUUCAGCAGUACCAGGGAAGGUCCUUGCUUAAAACAAUUGUCAGAGUUGGCAAGAUCAUGUGCAAUGGCCAGAAAGAAGGCUCAGAAAGAACGGCAGUCAGGAGGACAUGACCUGUCCUCUCCCUUUAAAGCUAAAAUGGCUCAAUAUGGCCCCUAGUAUAUGGUCACAGAAGGACUCUGGGCCCUGUGAGCUAAAUCCCAUCUUGGGAUUGGGAAGGAUGCCCCCUGAACCUGAGGACAUAGAUAGAUGGAGCCAUAAAGAUAGGAACCUACAAGGAUUAAACAGUGGAAGGGAGACUGCCCCCUGGCUGCUCUUACUGUAAUAAAGAAGCAAGAGAGGAAAUAGACUGCUUUUGC